UACGUAGGGACGAGCGUUGUCCGGAAUUACUGGGCGUAAAGGGCGCGCAGGCUGUAGAUCAAGUCAGCCGUGAAAUGUCUGGGCUUAACCCGGGCAUGCGGUUGAAACUGAUGUACUGGAGUGCUGUAGAGGCAAGUGGAAUUCCCAGUGUAGCGGUGAAAUGCGUAGAUAUUGGGAAGAACACCGGUGGCGAAGGCGACUUGCUGGGCAGCAACUGACGCUGAGGCGCGAAAGCCAGGGGAGCAAACGGGAUUAGAUACCCCGGUA
RNAcentral lists this ribosomal RNA (267 nucleotides) under uncultured prokaryote. RNAcentral describes it as "partial 16S ribosomal RNA". It matches the Rfam family "Bacterial small subunit ribosomal RNA", at positions 524 to 792 of the family's 1533-position model. The record is from RNAcentral.